AGAGAAUUGGAUCAUUUUUAAACAGAUUAAAUAAACUUACAAUUUUUCAUACUUUUAUUUUGAGUAAUUUUAAUUUUUGCCCUUUGGCUUGGCAUUUUUGUACAGAGAAAAAUUCUAAAAAACUUGAAAAAAUACAAGAGAGAGCAUUAAGAUUUGUAUAUGACGACUACUUAUCAUCCUCUGAAACUCUUCUUGAGAACGCAAAGGUUCCAACCCUACAAGUAAGACGCAUCAGGACAAUGGCACUUGAGACUUAUAAAAUUUUAAAUAAUUUGGCUCCUGUAUGUUUACAAAAUUUACUCCAAAUUAAACACACUAAAUAUUCUUUUAGAUACAGUAAUAUUUUGGAAAUACCACAGGUAAGAACUACCUCAUAUGGAAAAAAAUCUUUUAGUUUUGCUGCUGCUUCUUUAUGGAAUAGCUUACCAGACCACUUCAGGACUGUUAACAGCUUCUCACAUUUUAAGAGUCUUGUUCAGUCCUGGAG
This 487-nucleotide long non-coding RNA is filed under the name Mytilus galloprovincialis (Mediterranean mussel). Lineage: Eukaryota; Metazoa; Mollusca; Bivalvia; Mytilida; Mytilidae. The record is from RNAcentral.